AUUGAACGCUGGCGGCAUGCCUUACACAUGCAAGUCGAACGGUAACGCGGGGGCAACCCUGGCGACGAGCGGCGAACGGGUGAGUAAUACAUCGGAACGUACCUGGUAGUGGGGGAUAGCCCGGCGAAAGCCGGAUUAAUACCGCAUACGCACCACGGUGGAAAGCGGGGGACCGCAAGGCCUCGCGCUAUCAGAGCGGCCGAUGGCAGAUUAGCUAGUUGGUGGGGUAAAAGCCUACCAAGGCGACGAUCUGUAGCUGGUCUGAGGGGACGACCAGCCACACUGGGACUGAGACACGGCCCAGACUCCUACGGGAGGCAGCAGUGGGGAAUUUUGGACAAUGGGGGAAACCCUGAUCCAGCGAUGCCGCGUGUGUGAAGAAGGCCUUCGGGUUGUAAAGCACUUUUGUUCGGGAAGAAAUCUGUCGGGCUAAUACCCUGGCGGGAUGACGGUACCGGAAGAAUAAGCACCGGCUAACUACGUGCCAGCCGCCGCCGUAA
This 500-nucleotide ribosomal RNA is filed under the name uncultured bacterium. RNAcentral's name for it is "partial 16S ribosomal RNA". It matches the Rfam family "Bacterial small subunit ribosomal RNA", at positions 29 to 523 of the family's 1533-position model. The record is from RNAcentral.